This 932-nucleotide ribosomal RNA is filed under the name uncultured marine bacterium. RNAcentral describes it as "bacterial SSU rRNA". It matches the Rfam family "Bacterial small subunit ribosomal RNA", at positions 50 to 986 of the family's 1533-position model. The record is from RNAcentral.
UACGCAUGCAAGUCGAACGGUAACAGCACUUCGGUGGCUGACGAGUGGCGCACGGGUGCGUAACGCGUAUGCAAUCUACCUUUUACAGUGGGAUAGCCCAGAGAAAUUUGGAUUAAUACCGCAUAGUAUAUAGAAUUGGCAUCGAUUUUAUAUUAAACAUUUAUGGGUAAAAGAUGAGCAUGCGUUCUAUUAGCUAGAUGGAGUGGUAACGGCACCCCAUGGCGACGAUAGAUAGGGGCCCUGAGAGGGGGAUCCCCCACACUGGUACUGAGACACGGACCAGACUCCUACGGGAGGCAGCAGUGAGGAAUAUUGGACAAUGGGCGCAAGCCUGAUCCAGCCAUGCCGCGUGCAGGAAGACUGCCCUAUGGGUUGUAAACUGCUUUUAUACGGGAAGAAACACCCCCUCGUGAGGGGGCUUGACGGUACCGUAAGAAUAAGGAUCGGCUAACUCCGUGCCAGCAGCCGCGGUAAUACGGAGGAUCCAAGCGUUAUCCGGAAUCAUUGGGUUUAAAGGGUCCGUAGGUGGAUAAUUAAGUCAGAGGUGAAAUCCUGCAGCUCAACUGUAGAAUUGCCUUUGAUACUGGUUAUCUUGAAUUAUUAUGAAGUAGUUAGAAUAUGUAGUGUAGCGGUGAAAUGCAUAGAUAUUACAUAGAAUACCAAUUGCGAAGGCAGAUUACUAAUAAUAUAUUGACACUGAUGGACGAAAGCGUGGGGAGCGAACAGGAUUAGAUACCCUGGUAGUCCACGCCGUANACGAUGGAUACUAGCUGUUCGGAGCAAUCUGAGUGGCUAAGCGAAAGUGAUAAGUAUCCCACCUGGGGAGUACGUUCGCAAGAAUGAAACUCAAAGGAAUUGACGGGGGCCCCGCACAGCGGUGGAGCAUGUGGUUUAAUUCGAUGAUACGCGAGGAACCCUACCAGGGCUUAAAU